RNAcentral lists this transfer RNA (66 nucleotides) under Pseudeuphausia sinica. RNAcentral's name for it is "tRNA-Leu". Lineage: Eukaryota; Metazoa; Arthropoda; Malacostraca; Euphausiacea; Euphausiidae. The record is from RNAcentral.
UUCUAAUGUGGCAGAGUUAUGCACAAGAUUUAGAAUCUUAUUACGAAAUAAAUAUUUCCAUAGAAA